Molecule: ribosomal RNA, 492 nt
Filed under: uncultured bacterium
Lineage: Bacteria
Description: partial 16S ribosomal RNA
Rfam family: Bacterial small subunit ribosomal RNA
Source: RNAcentral
AGUGAACGCUGGCGGUAGGCCUAACACAUGCAAGUCGAACGGCAGCACAGUAAGCGCUUGCUCUUACGGGUGGCGAGUGGCGGACGGGUGAGGAAUACAUCGGAAUCUACUUUUUCGUGGGGGAUAACGUAGGGACACUUACGCUAAUACCGCAUACGACCUACGGGUGAAAGCAGGGGAUCUUCGGACCUUGCGCGAUUGAAUGAGCCGAUGUCGGAUUAGCUAGUUGGCGGGGUAAAGGCCCACCAAGGCGACGAUCCGUAGCUGGUCUGAGAGGAUGAUCAGCCGCACUGGAACUGAGACACGGUCCAGACUCCUACGGGAGGCAGCAGUGGGGAAUAUUGGACAAUGGGCGCAAGCCUGAUCCAGCCAUACCGCGUGGGUGAAGAAGGCCUUCGGGUUGUAAAGCCCUGUUGUUGGGAAAGAAAAGCAGCAGGUGAAUACCCCGCUGUUCUGACGGUACCCAAAGAAUAAGCACCGGCUAACUUCGUG